GACGAACGCUGGCGGCGUGCUUAACACAUGCAAGUCGAACGAAGAGCGAUGGAAGCUUGCUUCUAUCAAUCUUAGUGGCGAACGGGUGAGUAACGCGUAAUCAACCUGCCCUUCAGAGGGGGACAACAGUUGGAAACGACUGCUAAUACCGCAUACGAUCUAAUCUCGGCAUCGAGGAUAGAUGAAAGGUGGCCUCUACAUGUAAGCUAUCACUGAAGGAGGGGAUUGCGUCUGAUUAGCUAGUUGGAGGGGUAACGGCCCACCAAGGCGAUGAUCAGUAGCCGGUCUGAGAGGAUGAACGGCCACAUUGGGACUGAGACACGGCCCAGACUCCUACGGGAGGCAGCAGUGGGGAAUCUUCCGCAAUGGACGAAAGUCUGACGGAGCAACGCCGCGUGAGCGAUGACGGCCUUCGGGGUGUAAAAGCUCUGUUAAUCGGGGACGAAAAGGCCCUUCUG
RNAcentral lists this ribosomal RNA (458 nucleotides) under Veillonella parvula. RNAcentral's name for it is "bacterial SSU rRNA". It matches the Rfam family "Bacterial small subunit ribosomal RNA", at positions 28 to 461 of the family's 1533-position model. The record is from RNAcentral. Lineage: Bacteria; Bacillati; Bacillota; Negativicutes; Veillonellales; Veillonellaceae.